RNAcentral lists this long non-coding RNA (1890 nucleotides) under Nicotiana benthamiana. RNAcentral's name for it is "long non-coding RNA (NBEN_LNC027377)". The record is from RNAcentral. Lineage: Eukaryota; Viridiplantae; Streptophyta; Magnoliopsida; Solanales; Solanaceae.
CAGACUGGAAAAUGAGACUCCUGUUUAUGUAGAAGAGAAUGCAAGAUUCAUUUAUGGACAUGGAAAACACAAUCAAACAUAAUAUGAUGGAAUAGAAGUUAAAAGGGUGCCCUUUGAUUAUACCAUACAGACCAAAAAGAAAAAGGACUGCUAAGUUGGGAACUUUUCUUUUUUCUUAUUCUGCUUUUUCCUUCUGGUUUUAACUGAAAAUUAUCUAGUGUCUCCUUUUCUUAUUUGUUCUUUCUUGUUGGAAGUGGUGGGGAUUAUAUAAGUAGUUACUCUAAAGGGAAGAUGAGUUAUGGCUUAUGGAUCUUUCUUGUGCUUUUUAAAUCAGAAUAUGGUUAACAAAAUAUUACUACUAUCUUUAAUUUGAGGCUACUAGUACAAUCUUUUAUUUUGAAUGCCAGCUUAGACGCGAAAUAAAAUUCAACUAGCCAUGUUCGUGGAACAGAUGAUGCUACUGCUGAUGCAACUGAGGUAAAGAACUAAAGAAACAGUUCUGGCUCAUACUGCUGGUGUAAACGAUGGAAGUGAAUCUGGUGCAAAAUUUGAAAUUCCCGGUAGUGAAUCUAAAAUUGAGCUGAGGGUCUCCUGGAAACAGUCUCUCAGCCCCCCGGGGGUAGGGGUAAGGUCAGCGUACAUAUUACUCUCCCUAGACCCCACUUGUGAGAUUUUACUGGGUUGUUGUUGUUGUUGUUGUUGAAUCUAAAAUUGCUGGUAAUGUUGAUGGGCCAAAGAAGAUAGGCAUGGGAGAUGGAAUAGUAAAGAAUAUAGCCGGACAGUUGUUGCUGGAUCGCUUGCUAAUCAGCAGCAAGCAGUGACGCAUCGAUCACCUAAAAUAGGAGAUCUCCAGGUCAGAAAUACCAGGACAUAACAUCAAAGAAUAUCGAGUUUCCUAACUUGUUUUAUGCAUUAAUCAAUGAGCAUGAUCAUGUGAAGAAUGAGGAGGAAAAGAAUGUGCAGCAAGUACUUGUGAUACAAGUUCAAAAACUGGACAUGCCACUCUCAAGUAAGUGCAACAUAUCUAACAUAUCGUGCUCAUUCUUUCAUACUGAUCUUUUGCACUACAAUUGAGAUAAAAAACAGAGACAUAAUACCAAAUAACUUAGCCAAUUCUCAUACCCCAUACCUCUAAUCAACUUUGUAUAGUUUAAAACAAGAAACAAGUUUCGCAAAAGUUUUCCAUUCAAGCAUGACAUCGUAUAUAAAAGGGAUGAGAGGUUAAGAUUGAAAAUCAAUAAAUACAGCAGACCUCACAGUAGAAUCAGUCAAUAUAUAUAGAUAGAAAUAAUUUUUGUAUUUUGUGUCAUUCUUUCACCAAAGAAAACACCAACAUCCUCAUACAUAAAAGUGUAAUCCAAAUCCUCUAGUUAUAUAGCAGCUAAAAAUUAUCAACUUUAAUUUAGGAGGAGCGAUAUUUCGUCAGUUAUAUCUGCCACUCAAUGAAACUGAUAGUACAAAAUUGACAUUCAGAAUAAACUGUUACAGAAGAUGAUUUAAUCGUAGUAGGAGAUAUAGCAGUUGCUCGUUCAAAAUACAUAUAGCUCAACAGAUGGGGAGUCAAAUCAUAAUUUAUGCUCUGGCCUCUCUCAUCCCUGCUCCCAGUUCAUACGCCUCUUCUAGUUAAAUUAUUACUCAAUUUACAUAGAAAAGGGAUGUUUUUUGAACCUUACCUUGAUGAGAAGAACCUCAAGGAUGAGCAGUUGUUGUCGAUGAAGUUGACGAGCAGCUUUGCUUGCAAAUUCGCCGAAUAUAAAUUCGCCAUAGCAGUUCUCUACUAAAUCUUUUAAAACAGUGGUUUGCGAUGGAACUUAUAGAAAAGUCAACGCUUUUUAGAUUUAUACGAAGAAGUCGAAUUCUUAGAGCUUUUUCCUUUUUUGGGAAGGGGGG